ACGCUGGCGGCACGCCUAAUACAUGCAAGUCGAACGAAGUAGUAAUACUUAGUGGCAGACGGGUGAGUAACAUGUAGGUAUCUUCCCUAUGGUGAGGAAUAACACGAGGAAACUUGUGCUAAUACCUCAUAAGUCUUAACAGAGAAAGCUUUAUGCGCCAUUGGAUGAGCCUGCACUUGAUUAGUUUGUUGGUGGGGUAAUGGCCUACCAAGACAAUGAUCAAUAGCUGAUUUGAGAGGAUGAUCAGCCACAUUGGGACUGAGACACGGCCCAAACUCCUACGGGAGGCAGCAGUAGGGAAUCUUGCACAAUGGGGGAAACCCUGAUGCAGCGAUGCCGCGUGAGUGAAGAAGGCCUUUGGGUUGUAAAGCUCUUUCGUCGGGGAAGAAAAUGACUGUACCCGAAUAAGAAGGUCCGGCUAACUUCGUGCCAGCAGCCGCGGUAAUACGAAGGGACCUAGCGUAGUUCGGAAUUACUGGGCUUAAAGAGUUCGUAGGUGGUUAAAAAAGUUGGUGGUGAAAUCCCAGAGCUUAACUCUGGAACUGCCAUCAAAACUUUUUAGCUAGAGUAUGAUAGAGGAAAGCAGAAUUUCUAGUGUAGAGGUGAAAUUCGUAGAUAUUAGAAAGAAUACCAAUUGCGAAGGCAGCUUUCUGGAUCAUUACUGACGCUGAGGAACGAAAGCAUGGGUAGCGAAGAGGAUUAGAUACCCUCGUAGUCCAUGCCGUAAACGAUGUGUGUUAGACGUUGGAAAUUUAUUUUCAGUGUCGCAGCGAAAGCAAUAAACACACCGCCUGGGGAGUACGACCGCA
This 809-nucleotide ribosomal RNA is filed under the name uncultured Pelagibacteraceae bacterium. RNAcentral describes it as "bacterial SSU rRNA". It matches the Rfam family "Bacterial small subunit ribosomal RNA", at positions 33 to 890 of the family's 1533-position model. The record is from RNAcentral. Lineage: Bacteria; Pseudomonadati; Pseudomonadota; Alphaproteobacteria; Candidatus Pelagibacterales; Candidatus Pelagibacteraceae.